Molecule: ribosomal RNA, 848 nt
Filed under: Cochranella balionota
Lineage: Eukaryota; Metazoa; Chordata; Amphibia; Anura; Centrolenidae
Description: partial 16S ribosomal RNA
Rfam family: Bacterial large subunit ribosomal RNA
Source: RNAcentral
AACUAAUCCCCACACCACCUAAGAACCCUUAUACAAUACUGAGUAAUUCUAUACCUCUAUAGAAGAUUUUAUGUUAAAACUAGUAACAAGAAGAAGAUGCUUCUCCUAAUAAUGCAGGCGUAAAUCAGACAGGACACCCCACUGACAAUUAACACCAGUGAAUAAGAAGUAGUAACUCAACCAAGAAAACCCUACUACCCCCUAUGUUAAUCUAACACUAGAGCAUUACAAGAAAGAUUAAAAGAAAGAGAAGGAACUCGGCAAAUAUUAACCUCGCCUGUUUACCAAAAACAUCGCCUCUUGAAAAAUAUAAGAGGUCCAGCCUGCCCAGUGACUCUGUGUUCAACGGCCGCGGUAUCCUAACCGUGCGAAGGUAGCGUAAUCACUUGUUCUUUAAAUGAGGACUAGUAUGAAUGGCACCACGAAGGUUAUACUGUCUCCUCUUUCUAAUCAGUGAAACUAACCUCCCCGUGAAGAGGCGGGGAUAAAUCUAUAAGACGAGAAGACCCUAUGGAGCUUUAAAUGACGCAACACCUGAUUUUAACCUAACUAAUUCCAGAAAAACCUCCUCUACCCCCACAGGAUGAUUGCUAGUUUUAGGUUGGGGUGACCGCGGAGCACAAAACAACCUCCUCAUUGAAAGGAACCCACUCCUUAGCCAAGAGCCACGCCUCCAUGCAUCAACAAAAUGACAUUAAUUGACCCAAUAUAUUGAUCAACGAACCAAGUUACCCUAGGGAUAACAGCGCAAUCCACUUUAAGAGCCCCUAUCGACAAGUGGGUUUACGACCUCGAUGUUGGAUCAGGGUAUCCUGGUGGUGCAGCCGCUACUAAAGGUUCGUUUGUUC